ACAUAAAUGAAUCAAAACUUUCAACAACGGAUCUCUUGGUUCUGGCAUCGAUGAAGAACGCAGCGAAAUGCGAUAAGUAAUGUGAAUUGCAGAAUUCAGUGAAUCAUCGAAUCUUUGAACGCACAUUGCGCCCUCUGGUAUUCCGGAGGGCAUGCCUGUUCGAGCGUCAUUUCAACCCUCAAGCCUGGCUUGGUGAUGGGGCACUGCUUCUUACCCAAGAAGCAGGCCCUGAAAUUCAGUGGCGAGCUCGCCAGGACCCCGAGCGCAGUAGUUAAACCCUCGCUCUGGAAGGCCCUGGCGGUGCCCUGCCGUUAAACCCCCAACUUCUGAAAAUUUGACCUCGGAUCAGGUAGGAAUACCCGCUGAACUUAAGCAUAUCAAUAAGCGGAGGAAAAGAAACCAACAGGGAUUGCCCUAGUAACGGCGAGUGAAGCGGCAACAGCUCAAAUUUGAAAUCUGGCCUCGGCCCGAGUUGUAAUUUGCAGAGGAUGCUUCUGGCGCGGUGCCUUCCGAGUUCCCUGGAACGGGACGCCACAGAGGGUGAGAGCCCCGUACGGUCGGACACCAAGCCUGUGUGAAGCUCCUUCGACGAGUCGAGUAGUUUGGGAAUGCUGCUCUAAAUGGGAGGUAAAUCUCUUCUAAAGCUAAAUACCGGCCAGAGACCGAUAGCGCACAAGUAGAGUGAUCGAAAGAUGAAAAGCACCUUGAAAAGGGGGUUAAAUAGUACGUGAAAUUGUUGAAAGGGAAGCACUUAUGACCAGACUUGGGCCGGGCGGCUCAUCAGGGGUUCUCCCCUGUGCACUCCGCCCGGCACAGGCCAGCAUCGGUUCUCGUGGGGGGAUAAGACCGUCAGGAACGUAGCACCCUCCGGGGUGUGUUAUAGCCUGGCGGACGAUACCCCCGUGGGGACCGAGGUCCGCGCUCCGCAAGGAUG
This 934-nucleotide ribosomal RNA is filed under the name Phomopsis sp. 2C3211. RNAcentral describes it as "eukaryotic LSU rRNA". The stretch from base 336 to 934 matches the Rfam family "Eukaryotic large subunit ribosomal RNA", at positions 1 to 625 of the family's 3401-position model. Lineage: Eukaryota; Fungi; Ascomycota; Sordariomycetes; Diaporthales; Diaporthaceae. The record is from RNAcentral.